AUACGUAAGGGGCAAGCGUUAUCCGGAUUUACUGGGUGUAAAGGGAGCGUAGACGGUGAGGCAAGUCUGAUGUGAAAACCCGGGGCUCAACUCCGGGAUUGCAUUGGAAACUGUCUGACUUGAGUACUGGAGGGGUAAGCGGAAUUCCUGGUGUAGCGGUGAAAUGCGUAGAUAUCAGGAGGAACACCGGUGGCGAAGGCGGCUUACUGGACAGUAACUGACGUUGAGGCUCGAAAGCGUGGGGAGCAAACAGGAUUAGAUACCCUGGUAGUCCACGCCCUAAACGAUGAAUACUAGGUGUUGGCGACCACAGGUCGUCAGUGCCGCAGCAAACGCAUUAAGUAUUCCACCUGGGGAGUACGUUCGCAAGAAUGAAACUCAAAUGAAUUGACGGGG
RNAcentral lists this ribosomal RNA (396 nucleotides) under uncultured bacterium. RNAcentral describes it as "partial 16S ribosomal RNA". It matches the Rfam family "Bacterial small subunit ribosomal RNA", at positions 523 to 918 of the family's 1533-position model. The record is from RNAcentral.